GCCGGCGCCCUUUUAGGGUCGGCAAGGUCAAGGAGCGCUCAUCCUUGGCGCUCCUCGUACCCAUGUUGCUCAGCAAUGGAGGAUAUGGCUAUGAGAA
RNAcentral lists this small RNA (97 nucleotides) under Mesorhizobium hungaricum. RNAcentral describes it as "Mesorhizobium sp. UASWS1009 Repression of heat shock gene expression (ROSE) element". It matches the Rfam family "Repression of heat shock gene expression (ROSE) element". Rfam says of the family: This family represents a 5' UTR cis-regulatory element found in heat shock mRNAs and is known as the ROSE (repression of heat shock gene expression) element. The ROSE element is a negative regulator of heat shock gene expression. The record is from Rfam by way of RNAcentral. Lineage: Bacteria; Pseudomonadati; Pseudomonadota; Alphaproteobacteria; Hyphomicrobiales; Phyllobacteriaceae. RNAcentral also lists the same sequence under 1 other name.